CGGUUUUCUUGCUUUGUUGGGUUUCUAUUAGGGAUGUUCAUUUUAACCGGUUAACCAUUAACCGACCGUUAAGAAUUUUGACUGAUUAAUACAAUCAGUUAAACGGUUAAAAAAGUAAUUCAUUUAUUUAUUUUCAGUAUUUUAUCAAAAUAUUUAAAAAGGUUUGCUGCAUGGUUAAAAUAUUCUACGUCUAUAAAAAUUGUUUUUUAGAGGAAAAAAAAAAGUCGCUUAUAAGUCGGAUUUCAUUAUUUCAUUCAUAAAUAGGCCUAAUACAGACGCGAAAUGUUUACAAAUGUUAUAAUAAACUGUCAACAUAGCUAGGCUAAUUUAGUUCCCCUCACUCCACAACAAAUCCUUUUAAUUAUUAGUAUUUAGACAAGAACAAGAAUUAAAAAUAGGCCUUUAAGAAGUUAUAGCAAUGUAAAUGACAAGCCAAAACGAAUUCAUUUAGGCUAAAAUGAAACUGAAACCAAUGUUGGGUCUCUCAUUCGACACAAAAUCAAAUGUUUCCAUAUUCGCGAUGUAUUUGAAUGCCAAAUUAUUAAUUAUUAUGUAGCCUACUUCACUCGCGUUCCAAUAUCCAUGUAAAACAAAAUGUUUUGCAUAACAUCACGGUGGUACGGUGAUAACACUUAACAGCACAGAUUUGACUACAUAUUUAAACUGAGCAGUGUGGGGGGGUUUUCCAUAUGUUUGACUGACUAUAUUUUAUUAUGAUAAUGAACAGGCUGCAUUGUCAAGGUAGCAAAGCUUAACUGUGUGCGCGCAUGCAGUGACAGCGCAAUCACUUGAGUUUUUUCCUUCUAACAGUGGAAGCAACUACUCCUUUUAGUCAUAAAGAUAAUUGGAAUUGUAAAUGGUUUGCCUUUAUUUGUGUACAUUCACAAUAAAAACAAAUCUUUGUGAGUAAAAUAAGCUAAAGAAAAAAGGAUGCCGCUUUCUGCCGUCUGGUUUCCUCUCGCGCAGCACAAAAAUGAACUGAAACUGCAUUUUUCGUUCAUUUUUUAAUUUAUUAUUUAAGCCUAUUUAUUCAUGUGUAUAUAUAUAUAUAUAUAUAUAUAUAUAGCCUAUUUUUAUUAUGUUUUUAUCCGCUCGCAGAAGCGCUGCAGGUGCGUGAUGUGAUAUGAAGACCAAGUGAAUCCCCAUGUUCUGUUGUUUGCUGCUUUUUUGCGCAUGUAAAAUUAAUCCCCAGGAAACAAAUGUUAGUAUUUUUAAUGGUUCGGUGACACUUAUCCUUUCUAAUUUAAUUCAAUUAUAAUUUAAAAUAAUCUUGUCAGUUAAUGGUUAAUAAUCGGUUAACGAGUGUCGGUUGUCUGUUAGGAAAAAUAACUGAAAUGAACAUCCCUAGUUUCUAUAAUGAAUAAUUUUUUUCUCACUGUCAGCGUUUUGCUGCGCAAACACACUAAUCGUAAAACCUUAUGCUCAAAUCAUUUCUGAAGUGAACAAAUGUGUGCAAAAUUAACUGCAUUGUGUGCAAACAGGUAUUGAAUGUAAUUUACAGAUUGCCUUAAAACAACAUGAAGUGACAUUUGCAAUCCAUUUAACUUCUGUAAUAUUCAGUGGGGAAAAACUUGAUUUUCUUAAUCAAAAUUUGAGUGUAUCACGAUUUGAUGUUAUUAGCUAGUAUUCAUUUCUCAUUCUUACCUUGGUGAAGUCUGCAGGAAAGAAAAAGUCCACAUUUAAUACAUUUUGAUAAAACAUUUUAUCAAACAUACUGCACAAUAAUGAAGAUAAAUUGGUUCAUGUUGUCUUUAAAUUCACUGUUGUGUGGUUAUCUAAGACAGUAUGUCUUUUGUCAUCCAGUUCUGUCUGAUUCUUCCAGACGUGUGACCAAACCCUACUCAUUGAUUCUUAUUACAAGGUCUGCGAUUGGCCGUCUAGCCUUUUGGCCCCUGUACACAAGAGUGGACCUCUGAUGAACAUGACCUACUGGUUUCAGACCGCUGUCGACUUUAACAGGGCCACAGCUGCAUCAGGAGCCACCAGAAGUUAGCGUGGUGAUGAGGUGCUGAGAUUUAUGACAGAUGAAUAAGAGUAAUCUAAGCGUAGCAGACAGAGGUGCUAUUGAUCUGUCUGGAGUCAGGGCCACACUGCUGCUGAUGACACUUUUUCCAGUCGAUACGCAUUUGACCUCUGACCCUGAAAGAGAGAUCAAUGAGUUCGAUUUGGAUGGGCGGGGCCUGUGCGCUGGGCCGUCAGCCAGUCAGACAAAAUGUUAUAGCGGUUAAAGACUUGCAUUCAGCAGACCUAAACGCUGCGUGACUGUGCACUCAAAUGGUCUCUGUAAGAGUCUUCUGAGUUCUUAUGAUUGUAAGAUGUUGAUGAAACUAAAACCUAUAAAAUCAUUCUGAAUUGUUCUGAAUUUGAUAGUGUUUAGAUGAUUGAUAAGGUAGCAUCACUAUUAGAUUUGAACAAACUGUUAACUGUUAAUGUUAAAGGGAUAGCCUAGUUCACCCAAAAAUGAAACUUCUGUCAAUAAUUACUCACCCUCAUGUCGUUCCAAACCCGUAAGACCUUUGUUCAUCUUCGGUACACAAAUUCAGAUAUUUUUGAGGAAAUCCAAGGAAAUUUCUGACCCUGCAUAGACAGCAAUGCAACUGAAACAUUCAAGGCCCAGAAAGGUAGUAAGGACAUUGUUAAAAUAGUGGUUCAAGCUAUGAUAAUACAUUUUGUGUGCAAAGAAAACAAAAAUAAUGAUUUCAUUCAACAAUUUCUUCUCUUCCUUGUCAGUCUUCAAAUAUCAAUCAUCAAUAAUAUCUUAAUUUGUGUUUCGAAGAUGAACGAAGGUCUUAAUACUUUUAAAAAUAUUUUACUAUACUUUUUUAAGUAGCCUAUUACACAUCAAUGUGUAACUUAUAACACAUAUGUUUAGGAAUGACAUCUCAAAUUGCAUGGCAUUUUGAGGAGACAUGCUGUGUGCCUUUUCUAAGUGAUCAGAUAUACUAUUUUUAACUUGCAAACAAUAAAAUGCUUGGAAAGCCAUAGACGUGUGGCAAAAAAGGGACCUUUUUGCCUUCCUGUUGCUCAAACUGUAGAUCAUGGCACUAGCAGGGUCAUAGGUUUCAUUCCCAGGAAAAGCAAGGAUUGAUCAUGUAAAUAUAGACUUCAGGUUGGCUUUUUUGAUUUCAGCUCAUGUUUUCUUCACAAAAUAUAAAACUGUAGUUUAAAAAUGUUUUGAUGUGAUUAAAGAGAUCCAUGUCUUUGGGGUCUCAUUUUUGUAUGUGAUUGUUAAUGAGUCAUUGUGUUUUGAAAUGACUAGAAUUGUGUUCCAGGAUAUGAGAAAUAAGAGAUUUCUGAGUGGGUCUGAAGGCUUGUAAAGUCACAGUUUAAUUGGAAACGGAUGUUGAACUCAAUAUGUUUCUCUUUGUGUAGUGGUUUAUGGUGUUUUCCCUUCUGUCUAGCAUUCAUUGUGUGUUGUUGUGCGUAUGUGUGUGUGCUGUCUGGAAAUGUGUGGUGACAGCGCUCUGCUGAUGGCCUCUGUGCGUGUAUGUGUGUGUGUGUGUGUGUGUGUGUGUGUGUGUGUUGAUUGAUCACCAUCAUUCCCUUUCGGUCCCUGCUGAUCCCACCAACCUUCCCCACACACACACACUUCUCCAUCCUACAGCUUGAUAGACUUGAACCUGUAUGCUGCUGACUCGUAUCGACAAACCUGUGUUCAGAUGCUGCCCAAGACGCCUUGCGUUUAAACACUGAAUCUAUGUGGAUUUGCGAGCUCUCCCACUUUAUGUGUGUGUGUGUGUGUGUGUGUGUGUGUUUGUGUGUGUGUGUGUGUGUGUGUGUGUGUGUGUGUGUGUGUGUGUGUGUGUGUGUGUGUGUGUGUGUGUGUGUGUGUGUGUGUGUGUGUGUGUGUUUGGAGCUCUGCAUUGCAGUAGAACAGACGUGGUGAUUUUAUGCAUUAAGCUCAUAAUCAAUGAUGUGUGCGGUGGGUAGUCAGAUGGGUAGACCCCUCUAUGAUGGGGUCACGACUCUCACACACCCCCCAGUGCAAGCAGAGGGGUCAGAGGUCAUUCAGGGCCACUGCCAGACUGAUAAAGAUGCGUCUGGUGCUAGGAGAACCACAUAGGAUGUGCAUGUUGUCUUUGUUUGUUUUGUUUUUUUGUUGUUGUUUUUGUUUUUUGUGUA
Molecule: long non-coding RNA, 4122 nt
Organism: Cyprinus carpio carpio
Lineage: Eukaryota; Metazoa; Chordata; Actinopteri; Cypriniformes; Cyprinidae
Source: Ensembl